RNAcentral lists this ribosomal RNA (447 nucleotides) under uncultured bacterium. Its description in RNAcentral is "partial 16S ribosomal RNA". It matches the Rfam family "Bacterial small subunit ribosomal RNA", at positions 29 to 523 of the family's 1533-position model. The record is from RNAcentral.
AACGAACGCUGGCGGCAGGCUUAACACAUGCAAGUCGAACGCCCCGCAAGGGGAGUGGCAGACGGGUGAGUAACGCGUGGGAACAUGCCCAAAGGUACGGAACAACUCCGGGAAACUGGAGCUAAUACCGUAUGUGCCCGAAAGGGGAAAGAUUUAUCGCCUUUGGAUUGGCCCGCGUUGGAUUAGCUAGUUGGUGGGGUAAAAGCCUACCAAGGCGACGAUCCAUAGCUGGUCUGAGAGGACGACCAGCCACACUGGGACUGAGACACGGCCCAGACUCCGACGGGAGGCAGCAGUGGGGAAUCUUGGACAAUGGGCGCAAGCCUGAUCCAGCCAUGCCGCGUGGAUGAUGAAGGCCUUAGGGUUGUAAAAUCCUUUCGCCGAGGACGAUAAUGACGGUACUCGGAGAAGAAGCUCCGGCUAACUUCGUGCCAGCCGCCGCAGUAA